Molecule: ribosomal RNA, 101 nt
Filed under: uncultured bacterium
Lineage: Bacteria
Description: partial 16S ribosomal RNA
Rfam family: Bacterial small subunit ribosomal RNA
Source: RNAcentral
CGUUCCCAGGCCUUGUACACACCGCCCGUCACAUCAUGAAAGCCGCUUGUACCCGAAGUCGCCCUCAAAAGGCGCCGAAGGUAUGGGUGGUGAUUGGGAUG